Molecule: ribosomal RNA, 555 nt
Filed under: Bacillus mojavensis
Lineage: Bacteria; Bacillati; Bacillota; Bacilli; Caryophanales; Bacillaceae
Description: bacterial SSU rRNA
Rfam family: Bacterial small subunit ribosomal RNA
Source: RNAcentral
GAUGGGAGCUUGCUCCCUGAUGUUAGCGGCGGACGGGUGAGUAACACGUGGGUAACCUGCCUGUAAGACUGGGAUAACUCCGGGAAACCGGGGCUAAUACCGGAUGCUUGUUUGAACCGCAUGGUUCAAACAUAAAAGGUGGCUUCGGCUACCACUUACAGAUGGACCCGCGGCGCAUUAGCUAGUUGGUGAGGUAACGGCUCACCAAGGCAACGAUGCGUAGCCGACCUGAGAGGGUGAUCGGCCACACUGGGACUGAGACACGGCCCAGACUCCUACGGGAGGCAGCAGUAGGGAAUCUUCCGCAAUGGACGAAAGUCUGACGGAGCAACGCCGCGUGAGUGAUGAAGGUUUUCGGAUCGUAAAGCUCUGUUGUUAGGGAAGAACAAGUACCGUUCGAAUAGGGCGGUACCUUGACGGUACCUAACCAGAAAGCCACGGCUAACUACGUGCCAGCAGCCGCGGUAAUACGUAGGUGGCAAGCGUUGUCCGGAAUUAUUGGGCGUAAAGGGCUCGCAGGCGGUUCCUUAAGUCUGAUGUGAAAGCCCCCGGCUC